AGCUUUGCGCAGUGGCAGUAUCGUAGCCAAUGAGGUUUAUCCGAGGCGCGAUUAUUGCUAAAAGGUACAUGAGAAGUUUAGAGAACUUGGUCAGCGUAGACAGUAUUCUUUGUUAGAGCCUAUGUCAUAGUUUAGCCACUGGACAAUUCAGCUUUUAUUAAAU
This 163-nucleotide small nuclear RNA is filed under the name Octodon degus (degu). RNAcentral describes it as "U4 spliceosomal RNA (ENSODEG00000024973.1)". The stretch from base 1 to 64 matches the Rfam family "U4 spliceosomal RNA". Lineage: Eukaryota; Metazoa; Chordata; Mammalia; Rodentia; Octodontidae. The record is from RNAcentral.